This 484-nucleotide ribosomal RNA is filed under the name uncultured bacterium. RNAcentral describes it as "partial 16S ribosomal RNA". It matches the Rfam family "Bacterial small subunit ribosomal RNA", at positions 30 to 507 of the family's 1533-position model. The record is from RNAcentral.
AUUGAACGCUGGCGGAAUGCUUUACACAUGCAAGUCGAACGGCAGCACGGGGGCAACCCUGGUGGCGAGUGGCGAACGGGUGAGUAAUACAUCGGAACGUGCCCGGUCGUGGGGGAUAACGUAGCGAAAGUUACGCUAAUACCGCAUACGAUCUGAGGAUGAAAGCGGGGGACCUUCGGGCCUCGCGCGAUCGGAGCGGCCGAUGUCAGAUUAGGUAGUUGGUGGGGUAAAGGCCUACCAAGCCGACGAUCUGUAGCUGGUCUGAGAGGACGACCAGCCACACUGGGACUGAGACACGGCCCAGACUCCUACGGGAGGCAGCAGUGGGGAAUUUUGGACAAAGGGCGCAAGCCUGAUCCAGCCAUUCCGCGUGCAGGACGAAGGCCUUCGGGUUGUAAACUGCUUUUGUAUGGAACGAAAAGGCUCUGGCUAAUACCUGGGGCUCAUGACGGUAUCGUAAGAAUAAGCACCGGCUAACUACGUG